AUACGGAGGGUGCAAGCGUUACUCGGAAUCACUGGGCGUAAAGCGCGCGCAGGCGGCCUGAUAAGUUGGAUGUGAAAGCCUACGGCUCAACCGUAGAACUGCAUCCAAAACUGUCAGGCUAGAGUGUGUGAGAGGAAGAUGGAAUUAGUUGUGUAGGGGUAAAAUCCGUAGAGAUAACUAGGAAUACCAAAAGCGAAGGCAAUCUUCUGGAACACUACUGACGCUGAGGCGCGAAGGCGUGGGGAGCAAACAGAAUUAGAAACCCUAGUAGUCC
Molecule: ribosomal RNA, 274 nt
Filed under: uncultured bacterium
Lineage: Bacteria
Description: partial 16S ribosomal RNA
Rfam family: Bacterial small subunit ribosomal RNA
Source: RNAcentral